RNAcentral lists this ribosomal RNA (253 nucleotides) under uncultured bacterium. RNAcentral's name for it is "partial 16S ribosomal RNA". It matches the Rfam family "Bacterial small subunit ribosomal RNA", at positions 524 to 776 of the family's 1533-position model. The record is from RNAcentral.
UACGAAGGGGGCUAGCGUUGUUCGGAAUCACUGGGCGUAAAGCGCACGUAGGCGGAUUUUUAAGUCAGGGGUGAAAUCCCGAGGCUCAACCUCGGAACUGCCUUUGAUACUGGGGAUCUCGAGUCCGGGAGAGGUGAGUGGAACUGCGAGUGUAGAGGUGAAAUUCGUAGAUAUUCGCAAGAACACCAGUGGCGAAGGCGGCUCACUGGCCCGGAACUGACGCUGAGGCACGAAAGCGUGGGGAGCAAACAGG